GCCAGGCGUGGUGGCACAUGUCUGUAAUCCUAGCUACUUGGGAGGCUGAGGCAGGAGAAUUGCUUGAGCCCAGGAGGCAGAGGUUGCAGUGAGCCAAGAUCGUGCCAUUGUACCCUAGCCUGGGCAACAGAGCAAGACUCUGUCUCAA
This 148-nucleotide non-coding RNA is filed under the name Chlorocebus sabaeus (green monkey). The record is from Rfam by way of RNAcentral. Lineage: Eukaryota; Metazoa; Chordata; Mammalia; Primates; Cercopithecidae.